Molecule: ribosomal RNA, 549 nt
Filed under: uncultured Glomus
Lineage: Eukaryota; Fungi; Glomeromycota; Glomeromycetes; Glomerales; Glomeraceae
Description: SSU rRNA
Rfam family: Eukaryotic small subunit ribosomal RNA
Source: RNAcentral
UUGGAGGGCAAGUCUGGUGCCAGCAGCCGCGGUAAUUCCGGCUCCAAUAGCGUAUAUUAAAGUUGUUGCAGUUAAAAAGCUCGUAGUUGAAUUUCGAGAUCAGUACGCUGGUCGUGCCUUCGGUAUGCACUGGUGUCACUGGUUUCUCCCUUCUGAAGAACCGUCAUGUCAUUAAGUUGGUGUGGCGGGGAAUCAGGACUGUUACUUUGAAAAAAUUAGAGUGUUUAAAGCAGGCUCGCGCUUGAAUACAUUAGCACGGAAUAAUGAAAUAGGACGUUUGACCCUAUUUUGUUGGUUUCUAGGAUCGACGUAAUGAUUAAUAGGGAUAGUUGGGGGCAUUAGUAUUCAAUUGUCAGAGGUGAAAUUCUUGGAUUUAUUGAAGACUAACUACUGCGAAAGCAUUUGCCAAGGAUGUUUUCAUUAAUCAAGAACGAAAGUUAGGGGAUCGAAGACGAUCAGAUACCGUCGUAGUCUUAACCAUAAACUAUGCCGACUAGGGAUCGGAUGAUGUUAAAUUUUUAAUGACUCAUUCGGCGCCUUACGGGAAAC